RNAcentral lists this ribosomal RNA (464 nucleotides) under uncultured bacterium. RNAcentral's name for it is "partial 16S ribosomal RNA". It matches the Rfam family "Bacterial small subunit ribosomal RNA", at positions 29 to 507 of the family's 1533-position model. The record is from RNAcentral.
ACGAACGCUGGCGGCGUGCUUAACACAUGCAAGUCGAACGGAAAGGCCCCUUUGGGGGUACUCGAGUGGCGAACGGGUGAGUAACACGUGAGUAACCUGCCCUUGACUUCGGGAUAACUUCAGGAAACUGGGGCUAAUACCGGAUAGGAAUCCUUGCUGCAUGGUGGGGGUUGGAAAGCUUCGGCGGUUUUGGAUGGACUCGCGGCUUAUCAGCUUGUUGGUGGGGUAGUGGCUUACCAAGGCUUUGACGGGUAGCCGGCCUGAGAGGGCGACCGGCCACAUUGGGACUGAGAUACGGCCCAGACUCCUACGGGAGGCAGCAGUGGGGAAUAUUGCACAAUGGGCGGAAGCCUGAUGCAGCAACGCCGCGUGCGGGAUGACGGCCUCCGGGUUGUAAACCGCUUUCAGCAGGGGCGAAGCUUGUGGUGACGGUACCUGCAGAAGAAGCACCGGCUAACUACGUG